UACGAAGGGGGCUAGCGUUGCUCGGAAUUACUGGGCGUAAAGGGCGCGUAGGCGGCGACGACAGUCAGGCGUGAAAUUCCUGGGCUUAACCUGGGGGCUGCGCUUGAUACAUCGUUGCUUGAGGGCGGAAGAGGGUCGUGGAAUUCCCAGUGUAGAGGUGAAAUUCGUAGAUAUUGGGAAGAACACCGGUGGCGAAGGCGGCGACCUGGUCCGUUACUGACGCUGAGGCGCGACAGCGUGGGGAG
Molecule: ribosomal RNA, 245 nt
Filed under: uncultured bacterium
Lineage: Bacteria
Description: partial 16S ribosomal RNA
Rfam family: Bacterial small subunit ribosomal RNA
Source: RNAcentral